UACGGAGGGGGCAAGCGUUGUUCGGAUUUACUGGGCGUAAAGGGCGCGUAGGCGGCUUAGUAAGUUACUUGUGAAAUCUCUGAGCUUAACUCAGAACUGCCAAGUAAUACUGCAGAGCUAGAGUGCAGAAGGGGCAACUGGAAUUCUUGGUGUAGCGGUGAAAUGCGUAGAUAUCAAGAGGAACACCUAAAACGAAGGCGGGUUGCUGGGCUGACACUGACGCUGAGGCGCGAAAGCUAGGGGAGCAAACAGG
RNAcentral lists this ribosomal RNA (253 nucleotides) under uncultured bacterium. RNAcentral describes it as "partial 16S ribosomal RNA". It matches the Rfam family "Bacterial small subunit ribosomal RNA", at positions 524 to 776 of the family's 1533-position model. The record is from RNAcentral.